CUUGGUGCAGUGAUUAUACAAACAUUCCUCGAACUGACGGGAGAUCCCCCGUGAUCGACUCCUAUACACCCAUAGAAUCUGAGCGCCA
This 88-nucleotide small nucleolar RNA is filed under the name Brachypodium distachyon (stiff brome). RNAcentral describes it as "snoRNA snoR8a". It matches the Rfam family "Small nucleolar RNA snoR8a". The record is from Rfam by way of RNAcentral. Lineage: Eukaryota; Viridiplantae; Streptophyta; Magnoliopsida; Poales; Poaceae.